Zea mays is the source of this 261-nucleotide long non-coding RNA. RefSeq lists it as uncharacterized. The transcript has 4 exons. Lineage: Eukaryota; Viridiplantae; Streptophyta; Magnoliopsida; Poales; Poaceae. The record is from RefSeq and is a predicted model, not a curated record.
UGAUAACAUUGAAGGCCUCCUUAUAUCAUCGAAGAGUGUGCCGUACAAGUUUUUGCAGUUUAUUACAAACUAGGGACUUCUGGUUGCAAUUUCCAAAGAAAAUGAAAUCCAGGUAUGGAAUCUUGAGUUCAGGCAACUAUUUAAUUCGUCACAGUGGGAUGUCAGCAUUACUGCUUUUGCAGUCAUAGAGAGGACCUUUAUGAUGUAUCUUGGAGAUGAGAAUGGCCUUCUUUCUGUAUUGAAGUAUGUGUAGAUGAUGGG